GAUUGGGCUCCACAUACAAGAUAAUGGGAGAAUGCUUCACAGGUGGAUCCAAGCAGGGCGUAAGUGGCAACAGGAUUGAGAAGCCUGGGUAAGCUACGUAGUUGUCUUCUGUCAGUAAAUCUUGCAAUGAACAUGUCUCAGGUUUCUUUGGAAUCCUCAAUUCUGCGCUGCUCUGCUGACUCACACCACUGUGAUCUCACAAAGAGAGAAAGUUUUGCUUCCUUCUCAGCUGGGAGUCUGCACACAGCAGAAGCUAUUUCCUCACCCAUGGCUCACAGGUGAAGAUGUGGGCUGUAUCAGAGCUUGCAAGUGAGUCAACCUGGAGUGAAGACUAUGAGGAUCUGAAACUCUGUCCUCCAGCCAUUCGCUGCAAAGACGAUGAACUGGCAUUGUUCAGACAAUGAGGAGUUCUGCGGCACCUUAGACUCCUCCCUGGUUUUUGCAGACCGAUAUAGCUACCCCUCUGUGGCACUGUACAACUGGCUGUUCCAUGGCACAGAAGUUUUGAGACCAUAUUUUAGGAAGGAACUGAGUAAGUGACAGAAUAAAGCUACAGUUCAGUGUCAUAUUGUCCAUCUGCCAAACAAACAAAAUAAACUUACAA
Pelodiscus sinensis (Chinese soft-shelled turtle) is the source of this 604-nucleotide long non-coding RNA. RefSeq lists it as uncharacterized. Lineage: Eukaryota; Metazoa; Chordata; Testudines; Trionychidae. The record is from RefSeq and is a predicted model, not a curated record.